RNAcentral lists this ribosomal RNA (253 nucleotides) under uncultured bacterium. RNAcentral describes it as "partial 16S ribosomal RNA". It matches the Rfam family "Bacterial small subunit ribosomal RNA", at positions 524 to 776 of the family's 1533-position model. The record is from RNAcentral.
UACGUAGGGUGCGAGCGUUGUCCGGAAUUACUGGGCGUAAAGAGCUCGUAGGUGGUUUGUCGCGUUGUUCGUGAAAACCGGGGGCUUAACCCUCGGCGUGCGGGCGAUACGGGCAGACUGGAGUACUGCAGGGGAGACUGGAAUUCCUGGUGUAGCGGUGGAAUGCGCAGAUAUCAGGAGGAACACCGGUGGCGAAGGCGGGUCUCUGGGCAGUAACUGACGCUGAGGAGCGAAAGCGUGGGGGGCGAACAGG